RNAcentral lists this ribosomal RNA (253 nucleotides) under uncultured bacterium. RNAcentral describes it as "partial 16S ribosomal RNA". It matches the Rfam family "Bacterial small subunit ribosomal RNA", at positions 524 to 776 of the family's 1533-position model. The record is from RNAcentral.
UACGUAGGGUGCGAGCGUUGUCCGGAAUUAUUGGGCGUAAAGAGCUUGUAGGCGGUUUGUCGCGUCUGCUGUGAAAAUCCGGGGCUCAACCCCGGACUUGCAGUGGGUACGGGCAGACUAGAGUGUGGUAGGGGAGACUGGAAUUCCUGGUGUAGCGGUGGAAUGCGCAGAUAUCAGGAGGAACACCGAUGGCGAAGGCAGGUCUCUGGGCCACUACUGACGCUAAGAAGCGAAAGCAUGGGGAGCGAACAGG